RNAcentral lists this small RNA (100 nucleotides) under Salmonella enterica subsp. enterica serovar Infantis. RNAcentral's name for it is "partial RtT sRNA". It matches the Rfam family "RtT RNA", at positions 32 to 130 of the family's 130-position model. From Rfam's summary of the family: This family represents a bacterial cis-regulatory element known as RtT RNA. The exact function of RtT is unknown although it is thought that it may be involved in changing the cellular response in relation to amino acid starvation. The record is from RNAcentral. RNAcentral also lists the same sequence under 5 other names. Lineage: Bacteria; Pseudomonadati; Pseudomonadota; Gammaproteobacteria; Enterobacterales; Enterobacteriaceae.
GGGGCAAGAGGUUCGACCCGAGCGAAGCGAGAGAACGUUGCGUCAGCAACGGCCCGCAGGGCGAGCCACGCAGUGGCGAGUCAUCCUCUAUCACCGACCA